UCGGGGGGAACAGGGCCGGGAAGGCUCGAGGCGGGCCGCGGGAACUGCACAGCCCACCUCCACCGCUCAUCCGCUUAAAGCCCGCGCCCCCAGCCCCCGGCGCCUGCGCUCGGUGAGGGGAAUGCCUGCGAGAGCCGCGGAGGAGAGUUGGUGAAAAAACAAGAGUCUGGCGCCUGCAUCACAGCAUAGCUCAGAAGACGCCUCCCAUGACCCCCUCGAGAGCGCUAUGGCCGAGAGGCCCAGCCGUGACACCCAGCCACACUUCCCAGCCACAGGGCUAGAGUUCCGUUUGGGCGGAAGAGACACCAGGCCUUUCCAGAAUCCGGUCUAAGGCUGUCUUCCAGGAUCUGCUGUCAAGGCUUAGUCCUCAGGGAACAGCUGCUGGCAAAAGGAGUUCUAGAAUUCAUUUUUCAUAUUUGAAAGUGAGAAACUAUUUAGUUGGGAAUGGUCUGGAAAUCCAUGGUUGCCUCAGUCCUGACCGACUGUGUGAACUUGGGCGGUCCCCCACCUCUCUCUGGGCCGGUCUUGGAAAUGCUGGGAAUAAGGUUGCCCCAUGAGAAGUAAAUGAAUCCGAAGGCUCCCUGGCUCAGGACACAGCUCUCUGGCCUGGUCAUCAGAGCUCUUCACCUGUCCAAAGGAAGAACGCAGCAACCCAGGAGUGAGGCAUCCAGAGAAAAGCCAAGGUUCAGAGAAGCUCACUUUGGCCGUGCGCCCAUCCAGCACAGUCCAGAAGGUCCCCAGAGGCUGCUCCGGAGACUAUGCUCACCCGCCUUCUGUGGCCACACCUCACCUGGUCUUCGUUUGCUCCAUCCUCUGUGGCUCUGUCUGGGAUAAUUCUCUCCAAGCGGGGUCAGCCCCCUGGGAGCAGGCAGCUAACGAGCUUCAGAUGUCCAGGCCAAACUGCUCAUGGAAGGCGGAUGCUGAGAUGCUCGCGCUGAUUAAGAACACCGGCCAGUGGUGGUGGCUCAGAGAGAUCACCUCCUCUUCCCUUCACAGGGUACUUAACUCCCAACUUGGAAGCAGCAGGUGCCAGUGUUUCACCCCAGAAACCCUGGCCGGGGUGUCUAUUUCAAGGAAGUCUGGAAAAGGGCAGGGAGGCUGGAGGACAAAGGCAUUUUGAUUGUUGGGGAAUUUAUAUCUUUUUCUUUCAAAGUUUUUCUGGGUCCAGAGCUGGUCUUUCCCCUGAGGUAGCAGCAGGGAUGGGAAGGGAGGCGGGCAAGCUGCUUGUUGAUGGCCAGCCCUGUGAAUGCUGCGGGCUGAGCACAAAUGCCAUCUUCUCCAACCCUCACAGGAACCCUGUAAGGUCAGGACUGUCAUCAUCCACUUUACAAUGAGAAAAGGUGAUCUAAAGAUCAGAGAGGUGAGGCAAUUUGUCCAAGGUCACACAGCCUCUGAAUGGCCAAAUGAGGUUUUCAGCUCACCUCUGUCAGAGUCUACACUCUUCCCUACAGCAAACUGAGAUGUUUCUAGAAGACCAAGGUGGUAUAUUAUGGUCUCAAAACUGCAUGAAUGGGGCUUCCCUGGUGGCGCAGUGGUUGAGAAUCUGCCUGCCAAUGCAGGGGACACGGGUUCGAGCCCUCGUCUGGGAAGAUCCCACAUGCCGCGGAGCAACUAGGCCCGUGAGCCACAACUACUGAGCCUGCGCGUCUGGAGCCUGUGCUCCGCAACAAGAGAGGCCGCGAUAGUGAGAGGCCCGCGCACCGCGAUGAAGAGUGGCCCCCGCUUGCCACAACUAGAGAAAGCCCUCGCACAGAAACGAA
Molecule: long non-coding RNA, 1760 nt
Organism: Balaenoptera acutorostrata (minke whale)
Lineage: Eukaryota; Metazoa; Chordata; Mammalia; Artiodactyla; Balaenopteridae
Exons: 5
Source: RefSeq, a predicted model, not a curated record